Molecule: long non-coding RNA, 420 nt
Filed under: Homo sapiens (human)
Lineage: Eukaryota; Metazoa; Chordata; Mammalia; Primates; Hominidae
Description: long non-coding RNA NONHSAT254722
Source: RNAcentral
UUUUAAUGAUUCUUCCAUUAGGCUUAAUAUAAACUUUGGGGUGAAGGUGACCAGCAGUGGGUUUCGGAAGGGUCAUUUUCUCUUAGAGGAGAAAAGUCCCUGUUUCCAGUCAUGAGACACCUGAGAAGUAAGGCAUGACACAGAUGGCAAACAAGAAUUAGAAAGGAGGCGUGCCCAAGACAAGAAGAAGGUAGUAGAUGCUACUUUGUGACGUCAUAUUGCAACUGGAGUAAGAAUAUAAUGUAAGGAGCUUGGGAAUGUACAGUUCUGCCGAUGCGUGGUGAGCAUGAGGGAGUCAUAUUUGGAGAACCAAGGUAACUGGCAUGGUGCAGCUUUUAGCUAGCGGCGGGAAAAACCGAGGGGUGUGUAGAAAAAGGAAGUUAAGAGGAACCGAGGUGGGGAAAACUAAGAACAGAGGAG